AGAAUCAACGCUGGCGGCGUGCCUAACACAUGCAAGUCGAACGAGAAAGUGGUAGCAAUACCAUGAGUAAAGUGGCGCACGGGUGAGUAACACGUGACUAACCUACCCUUGAGUGGGGAUAAACUGAGGGAAACCUUAGCUAAUACCGCAUAAUACCCACGGGUCAAAGGAGCAAUUCGCUCGAGGAGGGGUCGCGGCCGAUUAGUUAGUUGGCGGGGUAAUGGCCCACCGAAGACGAUGAUCGGUA
This 247-nucleotide ribosomal RNA is filed under the name uncultured bacterium. Its description in RNAcentral is "partial small subunit ribosomal RNA". It matches the Rfam family "Bacterial small subunit ribosomal RNA", at positions 26 to 285 of the family's 1533-position model. The record is from RNAcentral.